RNAcentral lists this ribosomal RNA (575 nucleotides) under Lysobacter sp. StTD737. RNAcentral describes it as "bacterial SSU rRNA". It matches the Rfam family "Bacterial small subunit ribosomal RNA", at positions 102 to 673 of the family's 1533-position model. Lineage: Bacteria; Pseudomonadati; Pseudomonadota; Gammaproteobacteria; Lysobacterales; Lysobacteraceae. The record is from RNAcentral.
ACGGGUGAGGAAUGCGUCGGAAUCUGCCUAUUUGUGGGGGAUAACGUAGGGAAACUUACGCUAAUACCGCAUACGACCUACGGGUGAAAGUGGGGGACCGCAAGGCCUCACGCAGAUAGAUGAGCCGACGCCGGAUUAGCUAGUUGGCGGGGUAAAGGCCCACCAAGGCGACGAUCCGUAGCUGGUCUGAGAGGAUGAUCAGCCACACUGGAACUGAGACACGGUCCAGACUCCUACGGGAGGCAGCAGUGGGGAAUAUUGGACAAUGGGCGCAAGCCUGAUCCAGCCAUGCCGCGUGUGUGAAGAAGGCCUUCGGGUUGUAAAGCACUUUUGUCCGGAAAGAAAACCUUUCGAUUAAUACUCGGAGGGAAUGACGGUACCGGAAGAAUAAGCACCGGCUAACUUCGUGCCAGCAGCCGCGGUAAUACGAAGGGUGCAAGCGUUACUCGGAAUUACUGGGCGUAAAGCGUGCGUAGGUGGUUUGUUAAGUCUGAUGUGAAAGCCCUGGGCUCAACCUGGGAACUGCAUUGGAAACUGGCUUACUAGAGUGCGGUAGAGGGUAGUGGAAUUCCCGG